RNAcentral lists this ribosomal RNA (344 nucleotides) under uncultured archaeon. RNAcentral's name for it is "partial 16S ribosomal RNA". It matches the Rfam family "Archaeal small subunit ribosomal RNA", at positions 432 to 775 of the family's 1478-position model. The record is from RNAcentral.
AGAAUAAGAGCUGGGCAAGACCGGUGCCAGCCGCCGCGGUAAUACCGGCAGCCCGAGUGAUAGCNNNUUUUAUUGGGCCUAAAGCGUCCGUAGCCGGCCGAACAGGUCCGUCGGGAAAUCCACCCGCUCAACGGGUGGGCGUCCGGCGGAAACCAGUCGGCUUGGGGCCGGGAGACCAGAGGGGUACGUCCGGGGUAGGAGUGAAAUCCUGUAAUCCUGGACGGACNNNCGGUUGCGAAAGCGCCUCUGGAGAACGGACCCGACGGUGAGGGACGAAAGCUAGGGUCUCGAACCGGAUUAGAUACCCGGGUAGUCCAAGCCGUAAACGAUGCUCGCUAGGNGNU